GACGAACGCUGGCGGCGUGCUUAACACAUGCAAGUCGAACGGAAAGGCCCUGCUUUUGUGGGGUGCUCGAGUGGCGAACGGGUGAGUAACACGUGAGUAACCUGCCCUUGACUUUGGGAUAACUUCAGGAAACUGGGGCUAAUACCGGAUAGGAGCUCCUGCUGCAUGGUGGGGGUUGGAAAGUGUCGGCGGUUGGGGAUGGACUCGCGGCUUAUCAGCUUGUUGGUGGGGUAGUGGCUUACCAAGGCUUUGACGGGUAGCCGGCCUGAGGGGGUGACCGGCCACAUUGGGACUGAGAUACGGCCCAGACUCCUACGGGAGGCAGCAGUGGGGAAUAUUGCACAAUGGGCGGAAGCCUGAUGCAGCAACGCCGCGUGCGGGAUGACGGCCUUCGGGUUGUAAACCGCUUUCGCCUGUGACGAAGCGUGAGUGACGGUAAUGGGUAAAGAAGCACCGGCUAACUACGUG
RNAcentral lists this ribosomal RNA (468 nucleotides) under uncultured bacterium. Its description in RNAcentral is "partial 16S ribosomal RNA". It matches the Rfam family "Bacterial small subunit ribosomal RNA", at positions 28 to 507 of the family's 1533-position model. The record is from RNAcentral.